Long non-coding RNA from Diorhabda carinulata, 1122 nucleotides. RefSeq lists it as uncharacterized. The transcript is spliced from 2 exons. Lineage: Eukaryota; Metazoa; Arthropoda; Insecta; Coleoptera; Chrysomelidae. The record is from RefSeq and is a predicted model, not a curated record.
UGUGUAAGACUGAAAUUACAAUAAAUUAUUUGUACUGAAAACCAUAUCAGUUAUUAUUUUCAAACCACGUAAUUUUCCUUUAGUUUACAUAACCUAAAAAAGCAAGACAACUUCAAAUCUGAAGAUCUACAAGAAAUUACAUUAACAAGAACAGAAUAUAUUUUGUCUUCGUUGGAUUGGGCACAACCAGGUAAAGAUAAACAGCACAGUCCUAAUGGCACGAGUUUUAAGUGAUUAAAAACAACAAAGAAGUAGACCGAUGUUCAUUCUGUGGCAUAGUUUCUCUCUGUGAGAACCCGGAUCUUCUUUCAGAGCCAUCGAUGAGAGGCUGAUAGCUUCUUCCUUUUAUUUUCAAGAAAACUUUUACUUGGACUGGGUUUUGCUCCGGGUAUUUCUAAGACAUCUAAGGUAUUGUGGAAGUGUUUUUGCUAAAUAAGGUUCAUAUUAUUCAAGAUUCAUUUCUUCUUUUCAUAUUUUUUUCCUACUUGGGAACCGAGGCAACGUUUUCAUCGAGAUUAGAAGAUUUUGGAAGCAACUAUAAUACAACAGAAUAACGAUUAUUGGUUGUUUCUUCAAAGAAAACUAUGUUAAAUUUAUGGAGGGUCUUCAAUCUCUGGUCUGUCGAUGAGAAAGCUGUUUUGUCAUUCAAAAAGGUUGUCGUGAAAUAAACAAAAGUUGUUGAUGAAAAUUUGCAAGAAAUAGAAAAGAAGAUUCAUUUCUUAUACACACAUUUGAAUUGGAUAAAGAUUUAAGCAUUUUUUUAGAAAGUCAUCAAGGAUUUUGAGAUGAAGAUAUAUUCCGAAGGAACUAUAUAGAGAAGACAAGAAUUUUUCAUAUCUAAUUAUUUUGUUGUUGUGAAACUAGAGCCGACAUAAAAUUUUUUGUAUACUUUUCAGUUAACAAUUACUCAAAUAACUUUGGGGUACAAAAACCGUAUUAAUACCAAGUUUAUACCACGGAAACAUAAUUCUAAAGCUUUUCCUUUGCGGAUUCAAGUGAAAGCUGCACUUUCCUAUCUGAAAAACGAAAUAUUUAAAUAAAAAUAUUGUCGAACGAAAAUUGUUCACUUGUUUACACAAUUUUCAAUUAACUUUUUUCUAAUAAACGCUGAAUAAUUACUGU